This 292-nucleotide ribosomal RNA is filed under the name uncultured bacterium. Its description in RNAcentral is "partial 16S ribosomal RNA". It matches the Rfam family "Bacterial small subunit ribosomal RNA", at positions 505 to 796 of the family's 1533-position model. The record is from RNAcentral.
GUGCCAGCAGCCGCGGUAAGACGAACCGUCCAAACGUUGUUCGGAAUCACUGGGCUUAAAGGGCGCGUAGGCGGGCUGCCAAGUCAGGGGUGAAAUCUUUCGGCCCAACCGGAAAAGUGCUUUUGAUACUGGCAGUCUCGAGGGGGGUAGGGGUCGAUGGAACUAUUGGUGGAGCGGUGAAAUGCGUAGAUAUCAAUAGGAACGCCGGUGGCGAAAGCGAUCGACUGGACCUUUUCUGACGCUGAGGCGCGAAAGCCAGGGGAGCAAACGGGAUUAGAUACCCCGGUAGUCC